Molecule: unclassified non-coding RNA, 469 nt
Filed under: Hevea brasiliensis (rubber tree)
Lineage: Eukaryota; Viridiplantae; Streptophyta; Magnoliopsida; Malpighiales; Euphorbiaceae
Source: RNAcentral
GAAACUUUUCGACCAAUAAGCAACAUCGUGGGUGCUGACAUAACGGUAAUGCUUCUCAUGCCGUAGCUGUUUCUCUUGUUCAGCCAUUGCUACAGCCUCAUUCAUUGCCUCAGCAGUUGCCUCAACAUUCCAUGGAUUAAUACGGAUCGCCCCACUUAAGGAAGGAGAACACCCAAUGAAUUCUGACACAACUAGCAUGCUCUUGGCAGGUCCACCUACACCUGAAUCUGUUUCUGCACCCGAUACACCCUGUCGACAGACGAUGUAUUCAUAUGGAGUCAGGUUCAUCCCAUCCCUAACAGCUGUGACAACAACACAUUCAGCAACACUAUAAUAAGCCAUGCGCUCGCUACUUGACACGGACCUAUCAAUAUAAACUACAGGUUCAUAUCCAGGCUUGCCAAAUUGCUUAUUAAUCCUCUUGAAGCUUUCCUGUAUCUCAGCCUGUAUUUCCUCUAAAUCUAUUCCU